AGUGAACGCUGGCGGUAGGCCUAACACAUGCAAGUCGAACGGCAGCACAGUAAGAGCUUGCUCUUACGGGUGGCGAGUGGCGGACGGGUGAGGAAUACAUCGGAAUCUACUUUUUCGUGGGGGAUAACGUAGGGAAACUUACGCUAAUACCGCAUACGACCUACGGGUGAAAGCAGGGGAUCUUCGGACCUUGCGCGAUUGAAUGAGCCGAUGUCGGAUUAGCUAGUUGGCGGGGUAAAGGCCCACCAAGGCGACGAUCCGUAGCUGGUCUGAGAGGAUGAUAAGCCACACUGGAACUGAGACACGGUCCAGACUCCUACGGGAGGCAGCAGUGGGGAAUAUUGGACAAUGGGCGCAAGCCUGAUCCAGCCAUACCGCGUGGGUGAAGAAGGCCUUCGGGUUGUAAAGCCCUUUUGUUGGGAAAGAAAAGCAGCAGGUUAAUACCCCGCUGUUCUGACGGUACCCAAAGAAUAAGCACCGGCGAACUUCGU
RNAcentral lists this ribosomal RNA (491 nucleotides) under uncultured bacterium. RNAcentral describes it as "partial 16S ribosomal RNA". It matches the Rfam family "Bacterial small subunit ribosomal RNA", at positions 29 to 506 of the family's 1533-position model. The record is from RNAcentral.